GGCAUUUAUCAUCUCACAUCAUCACAAGGAGAAGGAGUACAGUACAAUAAGCUAAAUUAUGGUCUAAAACAAUACAUGGACCAGAACUUGGAAAAAUGCUCAACUUUAUCAACCACUGGCUGAGUAGCAGUUUACCUACUACCUACAGCACACAGUGAGCACUGUUUCUGGGCAACACCUGAACCAGAAUCACAUAGAUAAAAAUAUGGUCUUAUGCCUCAUCCCACCAUCACUGAAACAGAAUUUUUGGGCUUCGGUCCUGGGACUUUAUAUUUUAACAAGUUCCCCCGGUGAUUUUCAAGUACACUAAGGUUUGAAAAUCAGUGGUGAAGGAAAAGUAGAAGCAAUUACUGGUAAUAGAAGAAUGAAGAUAGCAGCAUAACACCCUUAAGUGUAUUAAUAAAUCCUAUAACUUGGA
Neofelis nebulosa (Clouded leopard) is the source of this 418-nucleotide long non-coding RNA. RefSeq lists it as uncharacterized. The transcript is spliced from 2 exons. The record is from RefSeq and is a predicted model, not a curated record. NCBI's taxonomy places the organism in Eukaryota, Metazoa, Chordata, Mammalia, Carnivora, Felidae.